RNAcentral lists this ribosomal RNA (439 nucleotides) under uncultured bacterium. RNAcentral's name for it is "partial 16S ribosomal RNA". It matches the Rfam family "Bacterial small subunit ribosomal RNA", at positions 339 to 795 of the family's 1533-position model. The record is from RNAcentral.
CUACGGGAGGCUGCAGUGGGGAAUCUUAGACAAUGGGGGAAACCCUGAUCUAGCCAUGCCGCGUGAGCGACGACGGCCCUAGGGCUGUAAAGCUCUUUCAGCAGGGAAGAUAAUGACGGUACCUGCAGAAGAAGUCCCGGCUAACUCCGUGCCAGCAGCCGCGGUACUACGGAGGGGACUAGCGUUGUUCGGAAUUACUGGGCGUAAAGCGCGCGUAGGCGGAUUGUUAAGUCGGGGGUGAAAUCCCGGGGCUCAACCCCGGAACUGCCCUCGAUACUGGCAGUCUUGAGUUCGAGAGAGGUGAGUGGAAUUCCGAGUGUAGAGGUGAAAUUCGUAGAUAUUCGGAGGAACACCAGUGGCGAAGGCGGCUCACUGGCUCGAUACUGACGCUGAGGUGCGAAAGCGUGGGGAGCAAACAGGAUUAGAUACCCUCGUAGUC